This 254-nucleotide ribosomal RNA is filed under the name uncultured bacterium. RNAcentral's name for it is "partial 16S ribosomal RNA". It matches the Rfam family "Bacterial small subunit ribosomal RNA", at positions 524 to 776 of the family's 1533-position model. The record is from RNAcentral.
UACGGAGGGUGCGAGCGUUUAUCCGGAUUCACUGGGUUUAAAGGGUGCGUAGGUGGGAAUGUAAGUCAGUGGUGAAAUCUCUGAGCUUAACUCAGAAACUGCCAUUGAUACUAUGUUUCUUGAAUUUUCUGGAGGUCAGCGGAAUAUGUCAUGUAGCGGUGAAAUGCUUAGAUAUGACAUAGAACACCAAUUGCGAAGGCAGCUGGCUACAGGGAUAUUGACACUGAGGCACGAAAGCGUGGGGAUCAAACAGG